GGAUGAACUAAGCCAUGCGAGUCAUUGUAGCAAUACAAGGCAGACGGCUCAGUAACGCGUAGUCAAUCUACCCUAUGGACGGGAAUAACCUCGGGAAACUGAGAAUAAUGCCCGAUAGAACAUUAUACCUGGAACGGUUUAUGUUUCAAAUGAUUUAUCGCCGUAGGAUGGGACUGCGGCCUAUCAGUUUGUUGGUGAGGUAAUGGCCCACCAAGACUAUUACAGGUACGGGCUCUGAGAGGAGUAGCCCGGAGAUGGGUACUGAGACACGGACCCAGGCCCUAUGGGGCGCAGCAGGCGAGAAAACUUUGCAAUGUGCGAAAGCACGACAAGGUUAAUCCGAGUGGUUUCUGCUAAAGAAACCUUUUGCUAGUCCUAGAAACACUAGUGAAUAAGGGGUGGGCAAGUUCUGGUGUCAGCCGCCGCGGUAAAACCAGCACCUCAAGUGGUCAGGAUGAUUAUUGGGCCUAAAGCAUCCGUAGCCCGUUUUGUAAGUUUUCGGUUAAAUCCAUACGCUCAACGUAUGGGCUGCCGGGAAUACUGCAUAACUAGGAAGUGGGAGAGGUAGACGGUACUCGGUAGGAAGGGGUAAAAUCCUUUGAUCUAUUGAUGACCACCUGUGGCGAAGGCGGUCUACCAGAACACGUUCGACGGUGAGGGAUGAAAGCUGGGGGAGCAAACCGGAUUAGAUACCCGGGUAGUCCCAGCUGUAAACUAUGCAAACUCAGUGAUGCAUUGGCUUGUGGCCAAUGCAGUGCUGCAGGGAAGCCGUUAAGUUUGCCGCCUGGGAAGUACGUACGCAAGUAUGAAACUUAAAGGAAUUGGCGGGGGAGCACCACAAGGGGUGAAGCCUGCGGUUCAAUUGGAGU
RNAcentral lists this ribosomal RNA (869 nucleotides) under uncultured archaeon. RNAcentral's name for it is "bacterial SSU rRNA". It matches the Rfam family "Archaeal small subunit ribosomal RNA", at positions 35 to 912 of the family's 1478-position model. The record is from RNAcentral.